Molecule: unclassified non-coding RNA, 3359 nt
Filed under: Hevea brasiliensis (rubber tree)
Lineage: Eukaryota; Viridiplantae; Streptophyta; Magnoliopsida; Malpighiales; Euphorbiaceae
Source: RNAcentral
UUUUUUUUUUUUUUUUCACGCUUCAUUGCGGCUAUAAUUUUCCUAAAAUAUACAAUUUCCUAAGUCAACUUGGUCACCCACUAGCAAAAGCCAAUCAUCUUGGAUAUGGAUUUCAGGCAAAACAAGCAUUCAUAACCCACUAUAUUGGUUAACCAAAGUUGCAAAAUUUGGAGAACCAAUGGAAAUGGAACAUGUAUAGUGGUAACAAGAAAAAUAUCUUUUUACCUGUUUAGGCCAAGACUAACCUAUACCUUUACAAGACAAUGCCAGCGCUCGCUUUAUAUUUAAAAUGAACCAAUGGCAAAUGGCUAUCACAGCAAAUCAUAUUCACUUCUUACCCUUCCCAUAAUCAGCAUGAGACUGAAGGCUCUCAUAAUCUGCGCUCAAGGGUGCAUGUAACCUAACGUAUCUCAUGCAUCUUAUUUAAUUGACUGGCCAAGGAAGGUUAACUUUCAUCUGGUAUUCAUUGCACCUUUGCCACAGUUCGGCUGGACAUACCAUGCAACAAUUUGACAAAUCCAUGGAAGCUAAGUUGUCCAUCAGUAUGCCUUAUCCAGUCAUUGAGAACUGCAUGAACUGGAAUAGAGGGGCCAAGUCCAAGUUCAGAAGCAAGCUCCUCAAUGACGAUAGCCCUGUUUCCAUCCUUGUCAAAAAUUUCAUAUGCAGAACGGGCACGCUGUUCCCAGCGAUCAAGUGCCUCCAGCUGAUGGACACUCAAUGCAGCUGCACAAAAUUCUUCAAAAUCCAAUUUUCUAUAUUGAAUUGAACCAACCAUGCUAACAUAAUCAAGGACCCUUGAAUCCUUCACUGCAUCUGUGGAAUUCCUUAUUACUGCCGUCUUAAAGUUUGACAUAGAAAUGAACCCAUUUUUGCUUGGCCCUAACAGCAUAAAUUGUUCUCGGAGGUAAGCUAGCUGGUUUACAGUUAAUGUCUUUGCCAGAGCCUGUCAUGGUAACAAUACUUAGUAUAGUCAUUGUUUUGAGAGAAAAGAUCAGAGGUUUACAUCAAAGACGUUAAUGAAAUAUACAAAAGUACUUUUCUACUCCAAAGGUUAGCAUUAAUUAAUUUGUAAUUUAUGAUGUGGACAAACUUCACUUGAUUUUACUCAUUGCUUUAUGGGUAGUUGUAGAAUGGUCCAAAUCCAUUGCAACUGAAACUGAGUGCAUCUGGAUUACCUACAGAUCCUUAAUAUUAUAUGUAUGUGUAUAACUCUUUACUGUCAUGAAUAAUUUUAGUAUUUAGGAUAUCAGCAAGUCCAUUUUUAUAUUAACCGGUCACUAUAAGUCUUUUUUACUUUAAUUGGUCACUAUACUAGACAACUUACCCCCAGUGCAGAUUUCCUUAGAGAAGAUGAGCAGAUAUAAGCUUUUACAAGUUUGUAUACUAUCAUAUCCAAUGGGAUUUUUACGCCAUGAUGAUUGGCUAACCAUGGAUGACUUAGGGCCUGAGCAGCGGUCAGUCUCUUACGAUAAUCCUUGUUUAACAAUCUCUUCACAAAAUCUAUUGCUUCGGGGGAUAAAGAUGUCCAAGGAGCAUCAUCAAAAAUUGGAUCCGCUUUGAGUACAGCUCGAAAGAUCCCAGAUUCUGUCCGUGCCCAAAAGGGCCGGCUGCCACAUAGAAGAAUAUAAGCAAUUACACCAAUACUCCACAUGUCUGCUUCAGUCCCAUAUUGUCGAUGAAGAACUUCAGGAGCUACAUAAUAUGCACUUCCUACAAUGUCAUUCAACCUUUCAUCUGGCUUUACAUAGUCAGAGAGUCCAAAAUCAAUGGCCUUCAAUGGGGAAUUCUCCUCCUCAGUAAUGAAAAGAAAAUUCUCUGGCUUCAGAUCACGGUGAACCACACCUUGGAGAUGACAGUAGGCAACUACACUUAAUAUCUGAACCAUAACAGUCUUUGCAUCAUCUUCUGAGUAUUUUCCACCCCUUGAAAGUAUCCUAUCCAAUAGUUCACCGCCUUUGCACAACUCCAUCACAACAUAGACAUUCUCAUCAUCUUCGUAGGCAUCAUAGAACUGUGCGAGGUUCUUAUGUCCGGUUAGAGCUCGUAAUAUUUGUACUUCUCGUCUAACAUCCUCAAUAGCAAUUGCAGUGGUCAUCUUAGACUUAGGAAUAACUUUGACAGCCACAUCCUGGCCUUUCAUGCUGCCUUUCUUGGCCUUGGCAGAGCAAGCAUACCCAAAAUGACCAUGCCCCACCUCCUCACCAAGCACAUAAUGGCUCGCAAACUGCUUGGAGAACCCAAAAUUCUUGUCCAGAGCGAUCUCACUCUCACUACCCUCAGGGAUAGGGGCUUCAUUGGGCUUAACAGAGCCAUGCCUUCGUGCAAGCAAUGCACGAAUGUGCUUUGCAGGAGAAGGAGGUGGAAAGGGCCUCUUGAAAAUGCGCAAGGGAGUGGAGCUUACACUCGAUAUUGCAGGUGAGUUCUUGAAGAGGCUUGGCAAGGGACUUGGACUAUAGAAAGGGUUAGAGGCCUUGCUGGUGUGGGAAGUUGGUGGUUGUAAGUCGGUUUCGAAGGAGAGUGUAUGGUUGUUGGAUUCAUGUUGUUGGGUCUCAAUGGGUUUUCCAUGACAGAGUCCCAUAGAGACAGGAAACCAAGAAAAAGAUAAUUCAAGAAAUCACUCGUAAAUCAAGAAACUGAGGACUCAAGAAGAAACUCAAAGAAAAGUAAAUAAAUUUACACCAUUUGAAAGCAAAUUCCAGGACUUGAAGCUGAAGAAAGAAGUUUCCUCAAGAAAUAUACAGGGAAGAGAAUCAAGAAGAACCUGAUCCAGUUGAAUUUCCCAGUCUUGAGAGGUAACUCAGAAAGAAAACUGAAUUUUACAGUAUGAUCAACAUAACCCAGAAAUGAAUCUUAGCACUGUAAUUCCCAAGAAAAUGCCCUUGCAACAAAUUCCAGGUUAUAAAGGCAGAAAAUUUAAAAUAAAAAUCAAAGCAAAGAAAAAAAAAUUGCGCCAAAAAAAAGGUAUUAGACUUUACUGAUCAAGAAACCAAAUGGUUAGAUACAAAGGAAGGUAGACAACAAACAAGAAGCAAAUUAUAGAUGAAGCUUGAGGGAGAGAAAUAGAGAGAAGCAAAAGAAAGAAUAAAAGCAGGGGAAGUUUUAUUCCAACAAGGGAAGAAUGGAGAGAUGAAAAGAGGCAAAAGCACAGGAAAAGGGGAGAAAAGAUGCUUAGUAGAGGCAACAAGAAAAGAGAAAACCAAUUUUUUUAAAUAUAUAUAUGUAUAGAAACCAAUGAAAAAAAAAAAGUAACAGCAAGGCUACUUCCUUUUCUUACUUUUUGCAAACUUCUUUAUUUAUUUAAUUUUUGUUAUCUUUCUUCCACUUUCAAAAAAAAAAUAAAAGAGAAGAAAAAAAGAAAG